This 77-nucleotide transfer RNA is filed under the name Candidatus Dadabacteria bacterium. RNAcentral's name for it is "tRNA-Glu". It matches the Rfam family "tRNA". Rfam says of the family: Transfer RNA (tRNA) molecules are approximately 80 nucleotides in length. Their secondary structure includes four short double-helical elements and three loops (D, anti-codon, and T loops). Lineage: Bacteria; Pseudomonadati; Thermodesulfobacteriota; Candidatus Dadabacteria. The record is from RNAcentral.
GUCCCCAUCGUCUAGUUGGUCUAGGACAACAGCCUUUCACGCUGUAAACAGGGGUUCGAAUCCCCUUGGGGACGCCA